RNAcentral lists this ribosomal RNA (490 nucleotides) under uncultured bacterium. Its description in RNAcentral is "partial 16S ribosomal RNA". It matches the Rfam family "Bacterial small subunit ribosomal RNA", at positions 30 to 507 of the family's 1533-position model. The record is from RNAcentral.
AUUGAACGCUGGCGGCAGGCCUAACACAUGCAAGUCGAACGGUAACAGGAAGAAGCUUGCUUCUUUGCUGACGAGUGGCGGACGGGUGAGUAAUGUCUGGGAAACUGCCUGAUGGAGGGGGAUAACUACUGGAAACGGUAGCUAAUACCGCAUAACGUCGCAAGACCAAAGAGGGGGACCUUCGGGCCUCUUGCCAUCGGAUGUGCCCAGAUGGGAUUAGCUAGUAGGUGGGGUAACGGCUCACCUAGGCGACGAUCCCUAGCUGGUCUGAGAGGAUGACCAGCCACACUGGAACUGAGACACGGUCCAGACUCCUACGGGAGGCAGCAGUGGGGAAUAUUGCACAGUGGGCGCAAGCCUGAUGCAGCCAUGCCGCGUGUAUGAAGAAGGCCUUCGGGUUGUAAAGUACUUUCAGCGGGGAGGAAGGGAGUAAAGUUAAUACCUUUACUCAUUGACGUUACCCGCAGAAGAAGCACCGGCUAACUCCGUG